This 292-nucleotide ribosomal RNA is filed under the name uncultured bacterium. RNAcentral describes it as "partial 16S ribosomal RNA". It matches the Rfam family "Bacterial small subunit ribosomal RNA", at positions 505 to 796 of the family's 1533-position model. The record is from RNAcentral.
GUGUCAACAGCCGCGGUAAUACGUAGGGGGCGAGCGUUGUCCGGAAUCAUUGGGCGUAAAGCGCGCGUAGGCGGCCCUGUAAGUCCGUUGUGAAAGUCAAAGGCUCAACCUUUGAAAGCCGGUGGAAACUGUGGGGCUAGAGUCCGGAAGAGGCGAGUGGAAUUCCUGGUGUAGCGGUGGAAUGCGCAGAUAUCAGGAGGAACACCAAUAGCGAAGGCAGCUCGCUGGUACGGUACUGACGCUAAGGCGCGAAAGCGUGGGGAGCGAACAGGAUUAGAAACCCGUGUAGUCC